UAUCGGGGCUGGUAUCAGGUGGUAUCGGGGCUGGUAUCAGGUGGUAUCGGGGCUGGGUAUCGGGCUGGUAUCAGGUGGUAUCGGGGCUGGUAUCAGGUGGUAUCGGGGCUGGUAUCAGGUGGUAUCGGGGCUGGUAUCGGGGCUGGUAUCGGGGCUGGUAUCAGGUGGUAUCGGGGCUGGUAUCAGGUGGUAUCGGGGCUGGUAUCAGGUGGUAUCAGGUGGUAUCGGG
Oncorhynchus keta (chum salmon) is the source of this 229-nucleotide long non-coding RNA. RefSeq lists it as uncharacterized. The transcript is spliced from 5 exons. NCBI's taxonomy places the organism in Eukaryota, Metazoa, Chordata, Actinopteri, Salmoniformes, Salmonidae. The record is from RefSeq and is a predicted model, not a curated record.